GACGAACGCUGGCGGCGUGCUUAACACAUGCAAGUCGAACGGAAAGGCCCUGCUUUUGUGGGGUGCUCGAGUGGCGAACGGGUGAGUAACACGUGAGUAACCUGCCCUUGACUUUGGGAUAACUUCAGGAAACUGGGGCUAAUACCGGAUAGGAGCUCCUGCUGCAUGGUGGGGGUUGGAAAUUUUCGGCGGUUGGGGAUGGACUCGCGGCUUAUCAGCUUGUUGGUGGGGUAGUGGCUUACCAAGGCUUUGACGGGUAGCCGGCCUGAGAGGGUGACCGGCCACAUUGGGACUGAGAUACGGCCCAGACUCCUACGGGAGGCAGCAGUGGGGAAUAUUGCACAAGGGGCGGAAGCCUGAUGCAGCAUCGCCGCGUGCGGGAUGACGGCCUUCGGGUUGUAAACCGCUUUCGCCUGUGACGAAGCGUGAGUGACGGUAAUGGGUAAAGAAGCACCGGCUAACUACGUG
RNAcentral lists this ribosomal RNA (468 nucleotides) under uncultured bacterium. RNAcentral's name for it is "partial 16S ribosomal RNA". It matches the Rfam family "Bacterial small subunit ribosomal RNA", at positions 28 to 507 of the family's 1533-position model. The record is from RNAcentral.